This is a long non-coding RNA of Cannabis sativa, 882 nucleotides long. RefSeq lists it as uncharacterized. The transcript is spliced from 5 exons. The record is from RefSeq and is a predicted model, not a curated record. Lineage: Eukaryota; Viridiplantae; Streptophyta; Magnoliopsida; Rosales; Cannabaceae.
UUUUUUUUCUAAUCGUGAUUUCUUAAUCAUAUAUAUUUAUAUAUGUAUAGUAGAGAAUCCCAAAGGUCUCCCUCUUCUCUCCAAACACAUAAACCCUAAAAAUUAUAUCAUCUCAUCUCUCUCUCUCUCUUCUCUCCUACAUAGCCGAGCUUUUCAUCCUCUCUCUUUCUCUUUGCGUUUUUCCAUUUUAACUAAAGAAAAAGCUCACAACUCCACACUAAAUACUUCCCUUUGAUCUUCAUCUACAAAGAACCAAAGCUAAGCGGAAGAUUAGUAACUAAAGGUCUUUCAAAUCUUGUGUAUCGUUUCAAAGGAAUCUUCAAUCUUGGAGAAGCUUUUGGAGUUUUGAGAAACAAAUAGGUCGGUUUUGAUGUGAUAUAGCAAUCUUGGUUAGGAUCUCAGAGAGUUCUAGAAAAGUAUACCUGAAAUCUCAAGCUUAAAAGGUUUUGAGGUUAAUUUGUAAGGAUCAGACAUAUUUAUUGUUGAUCGGUUUCUAGCUUGUUAGAGAGUAUUAUCAAGAUUUGAGCUUGGAUCUCUUUCUCUCCUUCGAGUUUGGUUACCACCGUCUUACUCACUAUGAUUGAGUACUUGACUUACUAUGUGUGGGCAUGGCACUUUAUCACUCAAGGUUUCGAAUAUGGUGAAGAACAAUGAAGGAGGUGAAAUCACUAUAGAAGGAACUCUCUCAUCUACUAGUUGUCUGACAGAGAUCCCUAGAUUUGAUUUGGUUGAAGGCAUCAGGUGGAUGAGUGAGAGCAUUAUGUUCAUUUUAUAGUAUUUCAACUAGGACUUAGGGCUGAAUUAUAUGGAUUAAAAAAGAAUAAAAUAUUGGACAAAAAUUUUAACUGCAAAAUUACGUAAAAAAUCCUGUGUGUUCAUAUU